CACGUAGGGAGCAAGCGUUGUCCGGAUUUAUUGGGCGUAAAGAGCUCGUAGGUGGUUCGAUAAGUCGGGUGUGAAAACUCUGGGCUCAACUCAGAGACGCCACUCGAUACUGUCGUGACUGGAGUCUGGUAGGGGAGUGUGGAAUUCCCAGUGUAGGCGGUGAAAUGCGCAGAUAUUGGGAGGAACACCAGUGGCGAAGGCGGCACUCUGGGCCAGUACUGACACUGAGGAGCGAAAGCGUGGGGAGCGAACAGG
Molecule: ribosomal RNA, 255 nt
Filed under: uncultured bacterium
Lineage: Bacteria
Description: partial 16S ribosomal RNA
Rfam family: Bacterial small subunit ribosomal RNA
Source: RNAcentral